CAGCAGCCGCGGGAAAACGAAGGGGGCUAGCGUUGCUCGGAAUGACUGGGCGUAAAGGGCGCGUAGGCGGCGGCCAAAGUCAGGCGUGAAAUUCCCGGGCUCAACCUGGGGGCUGCGUUUGAUACUUGAUUGCUAGAGUGGGGAAGAGGGUCGUGGAAUUCCCAGUGUAGAGGUGAAAUUCGUAGAUAUUAGGAAGAACACCAGUGGCGAAGGCGGCUCACUGGUCCGGUACUGACGCUGAGGUGCGAAAGCGUGGGGAGCAAACAGGAUUAGAUACCCCUGUAGUCCCUGUCUCUUAUAC
Molecule: ribosomal RNA, 301 nt
Filed under: uncultured bacterium
Lineage: Bacteria
Description: partial 16S ribosomal RNA
Rfam family: Bacterial small subunit ribosomal RNA
Source: RNAcentral